GAACAAUUCAUCGGCGAUUACAGUGACGGCAGCGGUGAAACCGAUAUGGGCGAAGCAAGCGGAAGAAGCGAAGCUUAAGAGCGAAGCAGAGAAAGAUGCGGCUGCGAAAGCUGCUUUCGAAGCCACUUUUAAGAACGUCGAAACUUCAGCCACUGCGGCCGCGGCCGCAUCCGACAGUGACUUAGACGAUGAGGAAUACGAGCAGAAGAGGCUUGCGGCGAAGCCGAUCGGUCCGGUUGACCCUAUAAAAUGCACAGCCGCUGGCACUGGAAUCGCCGGUGGAACAGCGUGUGCUCCGUCAACUUUCACCGUUGUGACGAAGGAUUCUGAUGGUCGUAAGGUACCACAUGGUGGGGCGCAGGUUAAGAUUAGAGUUUCACCUGGUGUUGGAGUUGGAGGAUCAGAUUUGGAAGGGAUUGUGAAGGAUAUGGGUGAUGGGACAUACACAGUGAGUUAUAUUGUUCAGAAGAGAGGAAAUUAUAUGGUGAAUGUUGAAUGUAAUGGGAAGCCUAUCAUGGGUAGUCCUUUCCCUGUUUUCUUCAGCACAGGCAGUACGACUGGCGGGCUAUUGGGUAUAGUACCAUCAGCCACAUUUCCAAAUAUGGUCAACCAGAACAUGCCUAAUAUGCCAAACUAUUCUGGUUCUGUAUCCGGGGCAGUUCCAGGAUUGCUUGGGAUGAUACCAGGUAUUGUUCCUGGAGCUUCUGGAGGUGUCGUUUUACCUGGAAUUGGAGCAUCUAUUGGGGAAGUUUGC
RNAcentral lists this unclassified non-coding RNA (754 nucleotides) under Hevea brasiliensis (rubber tree). Lineage: Eukaryota; Viridiplantae; Streptophyta; Magnoliopsida; Malpighiales; Euphorbiaceae. The record is from RNAcentral.